Columba livia (rock pigeon) is the source of this 2042-nucleotide long non-coding RNA. RefSeq lists it as uncharacterized. The transcript has 4 exons. The record is from RefSeq and is a predicted model, not a curated record. Lineage: Eukaryota; Metazoa; Chordata; Aves; Columbiformes; Columbidae.
UUCUCUGGCCAUUUCAUUCAUGAAAGUAUUUUGCCCAUUGUGGAGCUUACUUCAAGGCUGGACACAGCAAGAACUCUGCCCAUAUUGCAGGCAGUAUUUCUAGUGUCUGUGAUCUGUUAAGUGGAAUAAGAGAAUGCAGUGUGUAUCUUUUUCAAAGGACCUAUUUGGUGUUACACUGUGUCUGUAAUCAUACGGGUCAUGAUUCAGCAUGAAAUUAUCCAUCUUUGUGCAGAGAAACAGCCCCAGGAUUAGGCAUGUGCCUGACUAUCCUGCUAAUUUGUUUUAAACCACUGAUGUGAAAGGUGCACAUGGGAGCAGAGAGGUGCAAAAGUUUUCAUUUCGGUUUGCUAGCACAUAUCCUAUGCAUGGACAAUAACAAACUUAUGCUUUAGAGAAACAGAAAAUCACCCUCCAAAUGCCUCCUUGUAUAAGAGAGCUGCUCCAUUUUGCAGUAGAGCCAAAAUGUAAUCUACGUUCUUUGCAGGUAAGGAUGAAUAUCAGUCAGGAACAAAAGAACAUGUGAAAAAAGUAUGCUAGGCAAUUUUUACAAAGAAUUUCUUUUUUUUUUAUGUUGGUCUGGGGAUCAUCAGGAUUGGACCUUAGAACCAGCAACCUCCAACAGACUGCAAUGGCUCUGCCUUUAAUACAUUUCCACCUCUGUGUGUUAUGCAGCCGUAAUACUGAAGACAUGAGACAGACAGCUGCCCUGAGGCAUUCUCCGUAAAAACUUUCAUAUCACCGCGGAACUGAAUGUACCAUUAUAACACCAUGUCUCCUCUUCUUCAUGUGGGGACUAUCCUUACUGUGGUGGAAUCUGCUUUGGCAGGCAUGCCCAGAUAUCUUCACUUAUAGUCUUCAUCUUGAGGGCAAUCCUAGAGAAGAAUUGUUCUGCUGGUGACAACCGCCCAGUCAGUGAAGAGAGACUCCUAUUUUCCUUUGUGGUUGUGGUAUCCUCAUAACUGAGACCUGAGUAGUGCAAAUGAAAGGAAUUUGCUGGACUGAUGAACCAACGUUUUCCUCUGGGUCUUGGUCUCCAUGUCCACUCCCUGCCACAACAGCUGGGAUUCGCUGAAGGAACAUGAUGGGUCAGGAGGAGGAGGGGAAGCGAGGACAGCCAUCUCCAAAAUGCAGUGGAUGUGCCUCUCCGGCUCUACACUGGUUGUACUCAGGCAGGUACAAGCUGACGGGAAUCAGCAGUGGCAGCCAUGCGAACGAGGUCAGAGUUGGUUCCUCCGUGGCUUUCUUAUUCUUCCGAGCACUCUGAAAAUGCGGGUGUGCAUGUUAAAACUGCCCUAUGAGACAGCUCUGACAUGUGGGGCUGCCUGGCACAAACACAGCACAUAAUAACGCGAAUUAUUUGGCAGCGUUACAGGGCUAAUCUUUACGUAACUGUUCCUGAACAACUUCUCUAAUGCACUGAGCACAAACAAGCUUUCUAUCAGCCUUCAACUGCAUGCAGAUUGCCUUGUGUCACCUGCUUCUCUGCUGAGCAAAUACUGUCUGUGGCCAUGGCAAGGAAAACCUUCUUUUGCAUUCGUAACUGUCUCUCCCUAAAUUUCUUCCUUGUUUUCCAAGGCUGUUCAUAAACCAGAGGCAUGUUUGUCAAGAACAACCCCUUUUAUAUAAUUUCUCCUCUUAAGCUCAGAUGUAUGCAGGGAAUUACAUUGUGGAUUGUUUUCAGGAGAGCAAUGGGAAAACAGGAUCUGAUUUUUCAAUUGUUGUUCCCCUGUUGACUAAAGUCAUAGGAGGAGGGAUGUCUUUUAUAGUUAAGACACUGGUGUGGGACUUCAGGGACCUGAGACUGGAAUAAUAAUGUUUCAAUCCUUCUACCCUUUGCCCCUGUUGUUAGAUUUCAAUGUUAGCUCUUUACGAUUAUCUCCUACGGUUUUGUUUUGUUGCCUGGUUCCAUGGGGCCUGGUGUCCAUUAAGGCUUUUGUGCUGCAGAGAGCAGCACCAGGGCACGUACAGACAAUAACAAAAUCAGGAAAAGAAAAUAAAGACUAGGAGUUUCCCAAGAACCUUUGAUCAGUGCUGAUAAUGGG